GACGAACGCUGGCGGCGUGCUUAACACAUGCAAGUCGAACGGAAAGGCCCUGCUUUUGUGGGGUGCUCGAGUGGCGAACGGGUGAGUAACACGUGAGUAACCUGCCCUUGACUUUGGGAUAACUUCAGGAAACUGGGGCUAAUACCGGAUAGGAGCUCCUGCUGCAUGGUGGGGGUUGGAAAGUUUCGGCGGUUGGGGAUGGACUCGCGGCUUAUCAGCUUGUUGGUGGGGUAGUGGCUUACCAAGGCUUUGACGGGUAGCCGGCCUGAGAGGGUGACCGGGCACAUUGGGACUGGGAUACGGACCAGACUCCAACGGGAGGCAGCAGUGGGGAAUAUUGCACAAUGGGCGGGAGCCUGAUGCAGCAACGCCGGGUGCGGGAUGACGGCCUUCGGGUUGUAAACCGCUUUCGCAUGUGACGAAGCGUGAGUGACGGUAAUGGGUAAAGAAGCACCGGCUAACUACGUG
RNAcentral lists this ribosomal RNA (468 nucleotides) under uncultured bacterium. RNAcentral's name for it is "partial 16S ribosomal RNA". It matches the Rfam family "Bacterial small subunit ribosomal RNA", at positions 28 to 507 of the family's 1533-position model. The record is from RNAcentral.